GCGCCCGUAGCUCAGUGGAUAGAGCACCAGACUCCGGAUCUGGGUGCGGGGGUUCGAUUCCCUCUGGGCGCACCA
This 75-nucleotide transfer RNA is filed under the name Bacillota bacterium. RNAcentral's name for it is "Firmicutes bacterium (anaerobic digester metagenome) tRNA-Arg". It matches the Rfam family "tRNA". From Rfam's summary of the family: Transfer RNA (tRNA) molecules are approximately 80 nucleotides in length. Their secondary structure includes four short double-helical elements and three loops (D, anti-codon, and T loops). The record is from RNAcentral. RNAcentral also lists the same sequence under 1 other name. Lineage: Bacteria; Bacillati; Bacillota.